Streptomyces violaceusniger Tu 4113 is the source of this 75-nucleotide non-coding RNA. Lineage: Bacteria; Bacillati; Actinomycetota; Actinomycetes; Kitasatosporales; Streptomycetaceae. The record is from Rfam.
CUUCAGCGCGCCGAGCCAGAGCGGGCGGCCUUCCGGCCGGUCCUUGCCGUACGUCGCCAGCAGCGCCUGCGCUUC